Xiphophorus couchianus (Monterrey platyfish) is the source of this 438-nucleotide long non-coding RNA. RefSeq lists it as uncharacterized. The transcript is spliced from 2 exons. The record is from RefSeq and is a predicted model, not a curated record. NCBI's taxonomy places the organism in Eukaryota, Metazoa, Chordata, Actinopteri, Cyprinodontiformes, Poeciliidae.
AUAAUUUUCAUUUAAAACUCUCCAUGUUUACUGAGCACUUUAUAUUUAGAAUUCACAUCAGAGUUAGUUUCUACAUUUUCAGCUUGAGGAUUUUGGCCAACAUGGCCGACCAUUUGGACACUGCUGCAAAAACAUGAACAAGCUUGAGGGUUGAGCCAGAUGCUGGAACUGAUCAGAGUCUGUAAAGAAUUGCCCCAAAAAACGUAACACACUACUUCUCCUGAUUUGGCCUCUUGUUGCUGUGAGGUACUAGAUCAUAUCAGUAACCAGCUAGAAAAUAGUUUAAGUUUAUAAAUGUAAAAGAAUUGCAAGGCUGCUCAUAUUAUACAUAAUUUAUAGUUUAAAAGAUUCCCAAGAACAUCCUGCCCUCUAGUGGUCUAACCUGCUCAGCAGAAUCAAAACUUAACCUUCUAAAAAUUAAAUUAAAGAGCACUUUCC